Molecule: ribosomal RNA, 253 nt
Filed under: uncultured bacterium
Lineage: Bacteria
Description: partial 16S ribosomal RNA
Rfam family: Bacterial small subunit ribosomal RNA
Source: RNAcentral
UACGUAGGGUGCGAGCGUUAAUCGGAAUUACUGGGCGUAAAGCGUGCGCAGGCGGUUCGUCGUGUCCGAUGUGAAAGCCCCGGGCUCAACCUGGGAAUGGCAUUGGAAACUGGCGGACUCGAGUGUGGCAGAGGGGGGUGGAAUUCCGCGUGUAGCAGUGAAAUGCGUAGAGAUCGGGAGGAACACCUGUGGCGAAGGCGGCUCGCUGGGCCGAUCCUGACGCUGAGACGCGAAGGCGUGGGGAGCGAACGGG